This 301-nucleotide ribosomal RNA is filed under the name uncultured bacterium. Its description in RNAcentral is "partial 16S ribosomal RNA". It matches the Rfam family "Bacterial small subunit ribosomal RNA", at positions 509 to 807 of the family's 1533-position model. The record is from RNAcentral.
CAGCCGCCACGGUAAUACGGAGGGAGCUAGCGUUAUUCGGAAUUACUGGGCGUAAAGCGCACGUAGGCGGCUUUGUAAGUAAGAGGUGAAAGCCCAGAGCUCAACUCUGGAGUUGCCUUUUAGACUGCAUCGCUUGAAUCAUGGAGAGGUCAGUGGAAUUCCGAGUGUAGAGGUGAAAUUCGUAGAUAUUCGGAAGAACACCAGUGGCGAAGGCGGCUGACUGGACAUGUAUUGACGCUGAGGUGCGAAAGCGUGGGGAGCAAACAGGAUUAGAUACCCCAGUAGUCCCUGUCUCUUAUAC